GAUGAACGCUGGCGGCGUGCUUAACACAUGCAAGUCGAACGAGAAGUGAAGACGGAAACCUUCGGGCGGAAGGCUUUAUUUCGAGUGGCGGACGGGUGAGUAACGCGUGGGUAACCUGCCUCAUACAGGGGGAUAACAGUUGGAAACGACUGUUAAUACCGCAUAAGACCACAGCACCGCAUGGUGCGGGGGUAAAAACUCCGGUGGUAUGAGAUGGACCCGCGUUCGAUUAGCCAGUUGGCGGGGUAACGGCCCACCAAAGCGACGAUCGAUAGCCGAUCUGAGAAGAUGAACGGGCACAGUGGGACUGAGACACGGCCCAAACUCCUACGGGAGGCAGCAGUGGGGAAUAUUGCACAAUGGGGGAAACCCUGAUGCAGCGACGCCGCGUGAGUGAAGAAGUAUUUCGGUAUGUAAAGCUCUAUCAGCAGGGAAGAAAAUGACGGUACCUGAGGAAGAAGCCCCGGCUAACUACGUG
RNAcentral lists this ribosomal RNA (478 nucleotides) under uncultured bacterium. RNAcentral's name for it is "partial 16S ribosomal RNA". It matches the Rfam family "Bacterial small subunit ribosomal RNA", at positions 28 to 507 of the family's 1533-position model. The record is from RNAcentral.